RNAcentral lists this unclassified non-coding RNA (2052 nucleotides) under uncultured fungus. RNAcentral describes it as "sequence contains 18S rRNA gene, ITS1, 5.8S rRNA gene, ITS2, 28S rRNA gene". The stretch from base 869 to 2052 matches the Rfam family "Eukaryotic large subunit ribosomal RNA", at positions 1 to 961 of the family's 3401-position model. The record is from RNAcentral. Lineage: Eukaryota; Fungi.
GGAGGGAUCACUAUAGAAAAACCUAUACUGCCAGGAGAGGGGGGGGUGGGAGACAGGAAAGGAAAGGAAAGGAAAGGAAAUGCUUUUUCUGCUCUUCUCCUCCUUCUUUUCCUGGACAAACAAUAACACACAUGACUAGGAAAAUGAUUGGUAUAUGUGUGAGGGGUGAGGAAGGGGAAAUGUGAUUUGGUUCCUACUCCUCUCUCAUACACACAAGAAGAAGAAGUUCUUGUCUGAUAAGUAGCUUACUGAUUUGGUCAAGUUACUACACAUCAAUACAACUUUCAACAACGGAUCUCUUGGCUCUCACAUCGAUGAAGAACAUAGCAAAGUGUGAAAAUUAGUGUGAAUUGCAGAAUUCAGUGAAUCAUCGAGUUUUUGAACGCAUCUUGCACUCCUUGGUAUUCCAGGGAGUAUGCCUGGUUGAGUAAUGUCAACCAAUCUAAUCAAUCUCUUGAUUGUAGAUUGUAGAGUAGGCGUGUAUAGUGCAGUGCACUAUACUUUCUAUUCUACUACAUCAAAAAAGAGAUUGGAGUUGAGUGCUUUACCUUGUCUGCCUGCAUCUGCUUGCAUUUGACAAGGUUCACUUGAAAUGCAGGGGAGAACAAGAACAAGAAUCCCUGAGAUGAGAAAUCUCUCGAGGAUAUGUGUGGCAUGGAGACUUGUUCCAUCUAACAAUGACUUGAUGAAAAGAGAUAAUUUGAUUUGUCUCAUCUCAAAAAGUCUUUUUAGUAACGUCUCGGCGCGCUUUGUGAGCGGAGCUCUGCUCUGCUCUGCUCUGCUCUGCUAGAAUCAGCAACAUGCUCUCUUGCUCUUGUUUCCAUAACUAGGGAAAGAGGGAAAGAGUUGUACCGUACCUCUGAAUCUUCAUUCUCAACUCAGGCAAGACUACCCGCUGAAUUUAAGCAUAUAAAUAAGCGGAGGAAAAGAAACUAACAAGGAUUCCCCUAGUAACGGCGAGUGAACCGGGAAAAGCUCAAAUUUGGAAUCUACCAAGAGUAACCUUCUUGGUCGAAUUGUAGUUUCAAGAAAGAAAGGCUGAGAGGAGCCGGAUUAGAUGCAAGUUCCUUGGAACAGGACAUCAGAGAGGGUGAUAAUCCCGUCCACCAUCUAAUCGUUUGCACCUCAUCAAAGGCCUUCUUUUCAAAGAGUCGAGUUGUUUGGGAUUGCAGCUCAAAAUGGGUGGUAAAUUUCAUCUAAAGCUAAAUAUGGGUGAGAGACCGAUAGCGAACAAGUACCGUGAGGGAAAGAUGAAAAGCACUCUGAAGAGAGAGUGAAAAGUACGUGAAAUUGUUGAAAGGGAAACGCUUGAAGCCAGUCAAGGUUUUCUAGAGAUCAGAAGGGUUGGAAUUGGGCGGAUCAAGUAUCAUGAUUAGUCUCUUUGGGCUAACUUUGUAUUUGAUUCUUUGCUCAGCUCACUUUUUGUAUGUCUCUAGUUGACAUGUCAACAUCAGUUUGGCACUUUGGGAAAAAGAUAACAGGAUUUGGUUGGACUUUGAUAGGGCUUCGGCCCGUCAAGGUUCAAGCCUGCUUAUCAUGAUACCAAAUGCUAGACUGAGGAUGGCAGUACAGGGCAUUGUCUUGGACUAGACAGUCUUGUGGUGAGACUAGGAAUAAACAGCCUAGCUGAUUGUUCCAGUCCUUCACCAAAGUCCUGUCCUAUCUUUGCAGGCUCUGACUUUGGAUGUUGACGAAAUGGCUUUAAACGACCCGUCUUGAAACACGGACCAAGGAGUCUAACAUGGAUGCGAGUAUUUGGGUGAUAAAACCCAUCUGCGUAAUGAAAGUGAUAUUCUCCCAAGGGUAGGAUGCCGUUGGGGGGGGUUUCCCCUCGGCGGCUGCACUACCAACCGAUCUUGACUAGCCUCGGCUUGAUAGAUUCGAGUAAGAGCAUGUAUGUUGGGACCCGAAAGAUGGUGAACUAUGCCUGAAUAGGGUGAAGUCAGACGAAAGUCUGAUGGAAGCUCGUAGCGAUUCUGACGUGCAAAUCGAUCGUCAAAUUUGGGUAUAGGGGCGAAAGACUAAUCGAACCAUCUAGUAGCUGGUUCCUGC